GAUGAACGCUAGCGGCAGGCUUAAUACAUGCAAGUCGAGGGCUCAGCAAUGGGACCGGCGCACGGGUGCGUAACACGUAUGCAACCUGCCUGUAUCUGGGGGAUAGCCCGAGGAAACUCGGAUUAAUACCGCAUACCACUGAGGGUCGGCAUCGAUUUUCAGUGAAAGAUUUAUCGGAUACAGAUGGGCAUGCGCAGGAUUAGCUAGUUGGUGUGGUAACGGCACACCAAGGCGACGAUCCUUAGGGGCUCUGAGAGGAGUAACCCCCACACUGGCACUGAGAUACGGGCCAGACUCCUACGGGAGGCAGCAGUAGGGAAUAUUGGGCAAUGGAGGCAACUCUGACCCAGCCAUGCCGCGUGCAGGAAGACGGCCCUCUGGGUUGUAAACUGCUUUUAAGUAGGAGGAAAGUGCAGCUUGCGAGCUGUUUUGACGUUACUACUAGAAUAAGCCACGGCUAACUACGUGCCAGCAGCCGACGG
RNAcentral lists this ribosomal RNA (482 nucleotides) under uncultured bacterium. Its description in RNAcentral is "bacterial SSU rRNA". It matches the Rfam family "Bacterial small subunit ribosomal RNA", at positions 28 to 520 of the family's 1533-position model. The record is from RNAcentral.